AUUUGUACAAAUAUUUAAAUAAUUUGUCCACUAAAUUAAACACUUUUACUUUAGAUAAUGCAUAUUUGUCAGUGCUAAAAUUAUGAAGGCUUUUGAUGUGAAGAGGAAGGAUGGAUCCAAAGAGAAUUAAGUGGAUUAAUGGCUGCACUGAUUUACAAGGUCACGUCUACAGUAGAUCUGUCAAAGAAUAGCAUGUAACAUAUAGGAUUAUUUAAAUAUUGACACAAAAUUUAAAAUCUUUUUUCUUUUUUUUUAGAUUCAUGUUCAUUUUUAUUUAAGAAAUUGUGAUAAAUUCUGAAAGAUUUCAAAUGUAAUUAAAGUUAACUUGUUGUUUUUAUUAUUUUUAUGUAAUUUUUUUUAUCAAUCAAUAACUAGAUUGAUGCAUUUUAUCCGUAGACUGUCCUGUCCUUCCUUGACAGUUUCCUUUUAAAGCCACACACACUUUCACAUGUUGUCACACAGGGCACACAAGACACGCUGCUAGCAGACCCGAGACUCAUCAGUGGUCAGAGGAAUGUGUGUCAAUAGGAGUUUCAGUGCCACAGUUCAACAGCAGAUCUGCUGUUUACACAGGCUAAGUGGUGAUAUCCUUCCUGCUCCUUUCAGCAAAAGUGGAGUCAAGGAGGCAUUCAAAGGUUCAAAAAGGGUGCGUGAAUCAGCCACCAGAGACAACCUGAAGGAUGAGGACCUCUCUGCUCUUCCCACCACUACAAUCAGCCUAAUACCCUGUUAGCUCUUCAAGCUGAACCAGAGUACACACUAAGGGUUCAUGGUUAUUUUGGUAAGAGCUCCAAACCACUGAAUGGGUCAUUUAGGGGGUAAUUGUGGCCCUGGCUGAGUUCUCCGCUGGAUGUCCUUGUUUAGAAACUCUGAAGGAUUGAACAAGCAUCUCUGCCCCUCUCAUCUCUGAAAAUGUUUCUGUUUGCAUAGAGGACCUGCUGACCACAGACAGAAGCUGCCUCUGACCAUAAACCUCCCCUGAACCAUGGAAGACUGUGUCAGUCAAGCUCAAUACCUUUUCAUCUGAGCUCUGGGAAAGCCUUCUCUUUCGUUGCUGCAAGAUCUCACUUACUCCCACAGGGAGUUUUCAGCAGGUUGUUAGCAGGAGGAAUGUUGGUCACUAUUUGGUCUGUCUGUUAUCACUAGAAUUGGAACAGAAACAACACCCAUUUUCAGCCCCUUGUUUUUUCUUUCAAUAUUUGUCAGCAAUAAAGAACAGGAAAUAUAAAAU
Cyprinus carpio (common carp) is the source of this 1231-nucleotide long non-coding RNA. NCBI's taxonomy places the organism in Eukaryota, Metazoa, Chordata, Actinopteri, Cypriniformes, Cyprinidae. The record is from Ensembl.